Acanthosepion pharaonis is the source of this 110-nucleotide non-coding RNA. NCBI's taxonomy places the organism in Eukaryota, Metazoa, Mollusca, Cephalopoda, Sepiida, Sepiidae. The record is from the annotation of a GenBank genome assembly.
CGGACACAUCACGUUGAAACAUCAGUUCCGUACGAUCACCGACGUAAAGCAACGUCGAACUUGGUCAGUAGCUUGAUGGGUGACCACUUGGAAAGACCAAGUGCUGCAAG